UUUUCCACAACUGGGAUGCCUGCAUGUGAAAUAUAAAUUUUUUUUUUUUUUUUUUUUUUUUUUUUUUUUUUGUGCAGACGACGAAGGAGAAGGCGGCUGCAGAAAAAAAUAAAACGCCGAAACGGCACGUCAAUAAGAAAUAAUCUAUGAUUUGAAUGUAACACUUUUGUUUUAGGAUACGUCUAAUUGUUUCAGCAAAUCAAAUGUUGUUCAGCGAUUACUCGAAUUUGUGUUAGUCUUAUUUUGAGGAUUUCUUUAUUGGGCAUCCUGCAGUUAGCCACUGUUUGUUCGUUCCUUCAUCAUGGGUGAGUUUUUAGCUCAAACACCCAGGUAAAGGCAGUGCAUUAACAAAUGCCAUUCUGGUGUUCUUUUCAAUGGUGACAAGCGAAGAUGGUGUGAUUUAGCUAAUUCAGGUAACUUUGUGUUGGAUUUUCAGCUGCCAGACCAGUUGGACUUUGAAGCUUCCUUUCAGAAGAUCCUUCUGGGCAAGGACCUGCUGACUCAGGUGACUGUAAUAGAGGUGUGGACCACCUGCUCUCUGCCAUCACUGUGCGUGGGAAGCCCAGUAGCUGUUCCAGGUAGAAAACCCUGCAGGGGUUUGACAUGCUCUUCAAGGUGCCCACCAUCAGCCAGGUACUUUCUAUCAUCUCAUGGUUGGCUCACAGCAGCGCAUGAAGCUAGAAUACUGAGAAUGAUGGCUCUGGGUGUGCAUCCUGUGUACUAAAUGGAUUUUACAAGUGUAAAUGUAAAGUGAAAUCGAGAGCUGUGUGGUGUCACUGUCUGUGCAGAGCAUGACAAAAUGCAGAAAACCAUAUCUUCAUAGGUUACUCCUGUAUCUUUGCAUCAUUAGGACAGCACAUCCUCCCUCUUGGUCUCGGUGUUAAUGACCUUUAACCUCACUGAGGAGGAGUGACGUGAUGUAAAAGUGUCAGGACUUUUGUGUUUUAAAUAAAAUUAUUUAUUGAAGCUGGUCUGUUCA
This 979-nucleotide long non-coding RNA is filed under the name Scleropages formosus (Asian bonytongue). RNAcentral's name for it is "lncRNA (ENSSFOG00015030301.1)". The record is from RNAcentral. Lineage: Eukaryota; Metazoa; Chordata; Actinopteri; Osteoglossiformes; Osteoglossidae.